Molecule: RNA transcript, 616 nt
Organism: Dermacentor albipictus
Lineage: Eukaryota; Metazoa; Arthropoda; Arachnida; Ixodida; Ixodidae
Source: RefSeq, a predicted model, not a curated record
UCUGUUGGAGGAAAACUGCGGUUGUGAAUUACAAAAUAUUGUGUUAGAAGAGUAAAUGGAGGCGAAACAAAUGUCUGUAGUCCAUUUAGCUUUAUUCACUAAAUUAAAAUGUAGCGUGUCCUUAGUGUCAUGUGGAACCGAUGGUAAAGAACAAAGACAACUGCAAAAUUCCAGUCACGCACGCAGCUGUUGCUCUCCGGCUCUGAAAUUGGCUGGCCACGCGUCAUAUGUACUCCUGGGGAGCACGCAGCUUGCGAUCAGCCAUGCCGCGAGAAGAACCGGGAACGAGCUUGUCUACGCGGUGCCGAUGCAGCAGCCAGGGCACAAGAACCGGCACAAGACUUUCUAGUCGAACACAUGGACGGCUUGCUUGGAAAACACCUCUUCCUGGUGGUUGCUACCACACUCGCUGCACUGAUUAUGGCACCACACGAAGCAGAGGCAAUUCCAAGCUUUAUCACGGACGCUAUUUCAAAGUUCAUUGGACGAAAUGAAGAAAAUGACGAAUAGCGGAAGCGCCUGCGUUGGCGAUACAGUGUGGGCGAUCUGCGUUCCAUUCACGACGCCUGUUCGUAACUGAAUAAAAUGAAUGAAGCAAAAAAUGGCCUGGAAUGAA